CGACGCCGCGUGAGGGAUGAAGGCCUUCGGGUUGUAAACCUCUUUCAGCAGGGACGAAGCGUGAGUGACGGUACCUGCAGAAGAAGCACCGGCUAACUACGUGCCAGCAGCCGCGGUAAUACGUAGGGUGCGAGCGUUGUCCGGAAUUACUGGGCGUAAAGAGUUCGUAGGCGGUUUGUCGCGUCGUUUGUGAAAACCCGGGGCUCAACUUCGGGCUUGCAGGCGAUACGGGCAGACUUGAGUGUUUCAGGGGAGACUGGAAUUCCUGGUGUAGCGGUGAAAUGCGCAGAUAUCAGGAGGAACACCGGUGGCGAAGGCGGGUCUCUGGGAAACAACUGACGCUGAGGAACGAAAGCGUGGGUAGCAAACAGGAUUAGAUACCCUGGUAGUCCACGCCGUAAACGGUGGGCGCUAGGUGUGGGUUCCUUCCACGGGAUCUGUGCCGUAGCUAACGCAUUAAGCGCCCCGCCUGGGGAGUACGGCCGCAAGGCUAAAACUCAAAUGAAUUGACGGGG
This 515-nucleotide ribosomal RNA is filed under the name Rhodococcus cercidiphylli. RNAcentral describes it as "bacterial SSU rRNA". It matches the Rfam family "Bacterial small subunit ribosomal RNA", at positions 392 to 918 of the family's 1533-position model. The record is from RNAcentral. Lineage: Bacteria; Bacillati; Actinomycetota; Actinomycetes; Mycobacteriales; Nocardiaceae.